AAGUCGUAACAAGGUUUCCGUAGGUGAACCUGCGGAAGGAUCAUUGCAAAUCAAAGAUUGGGAAUGAUAUGAUUGAACCAUAAAAGGUUUGAGAGCGAUCUUGACAUUUUGCUGCUACUUGUUGCUUCAAUUUCAUUUUCAUAUACGCACAGCGUGCUUGGGAUUUAGAGGGUGCAAAUCCAAACACACUGAUGUUUACGCUUGUUUGUUUGACAAAUCUAUUACAUUUAAAUAUUCAAAACUUUUAACAACGGAUCUCUUGGCUCUU
Molecule: unclassified non-coding RNA, 268 nt
Filed under: fungal sp.
Lineage: Eukaryota; Fungi
Description: partial internal transcribed spacer region
Rfam family: Eukaryotic small subunit ribosomal RNA (bases 1-46)
Source: RNAcentral